Zingiber officinale is the source of this 2768-nucleotide RNA transcript. It is a transcript of the gene named pentatricopeptide repeat-containing protein At4g36680, mitochondrial-like, with no coding region annotated. NCBI's taxonomy places the organism in Eukaryota, Viridiplantae, Streptophyta, Magnoliopsida, Zingiberales, Zingiberaceae. The transcript is spliced from 2 exons. The record is from RefSeq and is a predicted model, not a curated record.
AUUCGCGUCUGAGCCGAACACAGCGUCUAAACCCUACGCCUUCCUUGGUCGACUCAGCAGACGGCAAAAAAAUAAAAUAAAAAUGGUGCUCACUCGCCGCCACGUCGCGCUCCUCGUCCAUGCCCGGCGAUGCUUCUCCGCCUCUGCUGUGCCCCGUCCCGCCUGCGUCCACGAGGUCCGCCGCCUCGCUCUCCUCCGCCGCUUCUCCGACAUCGAGUCCCUCCUCGAACCACUCAAGGACAGCAAGGACGCUUCCUCGGAGCCCUUUCUCGCUUCCGUCGCCGCCGCCUACGCAUCUGCCGGAAUGGUCGAACACGCCUUCCGCACCCUCGAGGAUCUCCCUCGCCUGGGCUCUCCCCGCACCGCCCUCUCCCUUAACGCCCUCCUUUCUGCCCUCAACCACUCACCCCGCCGUCUUGGACACCACCGCUUAGUGCCCGAGCUGUUCUCCGACGUCCCCCGAAAAUUCUCCAUCGUCCCCGAUGCGGUCUCGUACGGCAUCCUCGUCAAGUACUACUGCCUUGCCGGAGAGUCCAAGAAGGCCUUCCCGAUCAUCAAGGAGAUGGAGGAAAAGAAGAUCGAGGUCACUUCCGUGAUCUAUACCACCAUCCUUGAUUCUCUAUACAAGGACAGCAAACCGCAGGAGGCCGAGACGCUUUGGAAGGAAAUGGGCAUCAAAGGGGUAAAGCCCGAUCUCCCCGCUUACAAUGUGCGGGUUAUGCACAAAGCUCUUGUUGGGAAGCCAGAUGAGGUCCUUGAUCUUAUUGCUGAGAUGGAGGCCGCAGGAUUGGAGCCAGAUAUCAUCUCCUAUAACUAUUUGAUCGCUUGUUAUUGUAAACAUCGCAAGACUAAGGAUGCAAAGAAGGUCUACCACGGAUUGGAGGAGAAGGGAUGUGUGCCGAAUUCUGUGACCUUUAUGAAUCUUCUUUCAGCUUUGAGUAAAAAUCGGGAUUUUGUGGGGUGUAUGAAGGUGUUGGCAGAUUGCAUUAAACAUAGCAACAUACCUGAUUUGGGUUCGAUUAAGCUGCUGGUGAAGGAGUUGGUGAAAGCUUCUAGGCCGAGAGAUGCAAGGAGGGUGAUUACUAGAUUGGAAAAGAAAUUCCCAGAAGAUUUUGUUGGAGAUUGGAAGAAACUGGAGAAGUUGGUUAGUCGUAGUAAGGAUGUAAAGAAAUCUGAUCAAAAAAUAGAUGCUCCACAUAUGAAAGAUCGAAAUGGUAAUGAAAUACAAUCAAAAUCAUGGUGAUGUUGGUUUUUGUUAGGUAGUUUAUCAUCAAGUGGAAGGAAAAUGUCUGAACUCCAUUCCCUUAUUAUUUCGUGAUGCAAAUAAGUAUGGGGUUUAUUUUGGGGCUUCAAAGUUCUGAGAUUAGAAUUCUAAAUUAGAACGAAAACUAUAGAGUUUAUGAUUUGAUGGUGCAAGUACUGCUCAUCUAAUAGUCAAUAUGAAGACAUUUUGAUGCUCAACAAUGUGGAAGAGUUGAUGUAAAUUCAAAAUAGCUGCACCUUUACCAACAUGACUCCGAAGAUGCUUCUACUUCAUUCCCUGAGAUUUAAAAUACUGGUGAAGGAUUUCCUUUGGUGGAGUGCAAAUCAAUGUAGUGAAUCAAAAUAUUUAGUCAGCUAAUCUCAUUUGGCUUCAGGGAGAGAAAUGAAAAAAUUAGACUGGGAAUUUACGAUUUGCCAUGUAGCUAGCUGGGCUCGGAAAAUGGCAGUGGAUGUUUUUCAUUGCAUCAGGAGGACUUGGGAGCUUCAUCGUUUUUAAAUCUUGUUCAUCAAAGGAAAAAUUGUUUGAUUGCUCAGUCCAUUCACAAUUCAAUCACAUAUCAAAUGAUUUGUUUCAUUGAAUGACUUAUUCUGUGAUAUAUAUAACCUAGAAGAUGUUGCCAUGGCUUCUGGAAGGAUACUUGGUUCUCUUGUCCUGUGUGAUCAAAGACAUGGUUCGAAUGAGUGCUUGCGUAACUAUUUGUUGUUUUGUUAUGGCAUUCCACUUCUGCAACACCAGAAGCUGAUUGCUAUACUGGGCAUCCCGGAGAUUAUAAAACACAUAUGUUUGCACAUAAUGGAGGUGGUCCCUGUUAGGAGAAUGCAUGGUGAGUUCAUCAUUUAAGAUCAGAAUUGAUUGGGAGUGAAUGUCAGACUCAUCUAGUCUAAUGAUGUGGGUGUGUAUGUGCGUGUUGCGUGUGCAAACUACAUAUCAAAUUCUAAAAAAUUGCCUUGGAGUUCUUGUUUGACCUGAUCCGUGCCUUAUCUGGUUUGGAUACAGAAAUCUGCACAUCACUCCUUCAACAAAUGCUUCUGAGUUGCCUCCGUCUAGGAGAAUAAGUUCUGACUAUGCAGCAGGUUGCCAAUAUAAUCACAUUUCUGUGGAGUUCCCAAGACAUGUUUAACCCCAUAAUCAAAUGGUUUGCAGUCUGCUCAAAACUGGCUUCUUGUUUUUCAUGAUAGUUGGCGAGAAAGCAACAUAAAUAUAUUUAAGAGCAAAGGUUUUUUUUUCUGAGAUUGUGUUCAGAGAAGGGUCUCAAAAUUAUGUAGAGAGAUUCUGAUUUGAGAUUUGAACUUCUGAUACUAUAUAUAUAUCAUACACACUUCUCUUUAAUUGAUAAUUUAGAUCUUGUCUGUGUUGCUUGAAAAAAAUGAGUCCAUACCAUUUUUUACAGUUCUCAAGGGUUUACUACAAGCAGAGAUAUUGAUAGGAAAUUUCGACCCAUCUUGGAUCAGCAACAUAGAGCGGAUUGGAAAAAUAAUAGCAUGUAAAUAUUGUUGAUUGGUUC